CAGUAGCCACGGUAACACGUAGGGUGCAAGCGUUAUCCGGAAUUAUUGGGCGUAAAGAGCUCGUAGGCGGUUUGUCGCGUCUGCUGUGAAAACUGGAGGCUCAACCUCCAGCCUGCAGUGGGUACGGGCAGACUAGAGUGCGGUAGGGGAGAUUGGAAUUCCUGGUGUAGCGGUGGAAUGCGCAGAUAUCAGGAGGACCAUCGAUGGCGAAGGCAGAUCUCUGGGCCGUAACUGACGCUGAGGAGCGAAAGCAUGGGGAGCGAACAGGAUUAGAUACCCCAGUAGUCCCUGUCUCUUAUAA
RNAcentral lists this ribosomal RNA (301 nucleotides) under uncultured bacterium. Its description in RNAcentral is "partial 16S ribosomal RNA". It matches the Rfam family "Bacterial small subunit ribosomal RNA", at positions 509 to 809 of the family's 1533-position model. The record is from RNAcentral.